UGGGGAAUAUUGGACAAUGGAGGGAACUCUGAUGCAGCGACGCCGCGUGAACGAAGAAGGCUUUCGAGUCGUAAAGUUCUUUUAUAUGGGAAGAUAAUGACGGUACCAUAAGAAAAAGCCCCGGCUAACUACGUGCCAGCAGCCGCGGUAAUACGUAGGGGGCUAGCGUUGUCCGGAAUCACUGGGCGUAAAGGGUUCGCAGGCGGAAAUGCAAGUCAGGUGUAAAAGGCAGUAGCUUAACUACUGUAAGCAUUUGAAACUGCAUAUCUUGAGAAGAGUAGAGGUAAGUGGAAUUUUUAGUGUAGCGGUGAAAUGAGUAGAUAUUAAAAAGAAUACCGGUGGCGAAGGCGACUUACUGGGCUCAUUCUGACGCUGAGGAACGAAAGCGUGGGUAGCAAACAGG
RNAcentral lists this ribosomal RNA (403 nucleotides) under Bacteroidota bacterium. RNAcentral describes it as "Bacteroidetes bacterium partial 16S ribosomal RNA". It matches the Rfam family "Bacterial small subunit ribosomal RNA", at positions 355 to 776 of the family's 1533-position model. Lineage: Bacteria; Pseudomonadati; Bacteroidota. The record is from RNAcentral.